GGCCUAUCUUUCGACAGCGAUCACGCCUACUAUCCGCGGGUCGCAAGACGAUGGCGCUGAACCUUAGAGUGGACUGCGGGCAGACCCGGGGGCAGUACCCGGCGCCUCCACCUUAGCAGCUUGAGCUUAAAGGUCUCAUCACGGUGAGAUCGAUUUGGCCGCAAGGCUAGAUUCCAAAGCUGCUAGGGCGGGGGCGAACCAGGAUCGAUGGUCGCAAUGAAGCUCUGAAUUGUGCUCGGCAUGAUACCGCCGUUAUCGGGUCAAAAACCUAAAUGCAAACGAUAACGUUGCAUUGAACGAAGUGCGCCUCGCGGCGUAACCUGUUCGGGGUUGGUCCACCUGGCAACAGAACGGCCAUCGCC
Non-coding RNA from Afipia sp. GAS231, 362 nucleotides. It matches the Rfam family "Alphaproteobacteria transfer-messenger RNA". From Rfam's summary of the family: Bacterial tmRNA, also known as 10Sa RNA or SsrA, is named for its dual tRNA and mRNA-like properties. Its role is to liberate the mRNA from a stalled ribosome. The record is from Rfam. NCBI's taxonomy places the organism in Bacteria, Pseudomonadati, Pseudomonadota, Alphaproteobacteria, Hyphomicrobiales, Nitrobacteraceae.